UACGGAGGGUGCGAGCGUUGUCCGGAAUCAUUGGGCGUAAAGGGCGCGUAGGUGGCCCGGUCAGCUCGUGGUGAAAGCGCGGGGCUCAACCCUGCGUCGGCCAUGAAUACUGCCGCGGCUGGAGCACUGUAGAGGCAGGCGGAAUUCCGGGUGUAGCGGUGGAAUGCGUAGAGAUCCGGAAGAACACCGGUGGCGAAGGCGGCCUGCUGGGCAGUUGCUGACACUGAGGCGCGACAGCGUGGGGAGCAAACAGG
RNAcentral lists this ribosomal RNA (254 nucleotides) under uncultured bacterium. RNAcentral's name for it is "partial 16S ribosomal RNA". It matches the Rfam family "Bacterial small subunit ribosomal RNA", at positions 524 to 776 of the family's 1533-position model. The record is from RNAcentral.